AGUCGAACGAUGAAGCCCUUCGGGGUGGAUUAGUGGCGAACGGGUGAGUAACACGUGGGCAAUCUGCCCUUCACUCUGGGACAAGCCCUGGAAACGGGGUCUAAUACCGGAUAACACUCUGUCCCGCAUGGGACGGGGUUAAAAGCUCCGGCGGUGAAGGAUGAGCCCGCGGCCUAUCAGCUUGUUGGUGGGGUAAUGGCCUACCAAGGCGACGACGGGUAGCCGGCCUGAGAGGGCGACCGGCCACACUGGGACUGAGACACGGCCCAGACUCCUACGGGAGGCAGCAGUGGGGAAUAUUGCACAAUGGGCGAAAGCCUGAUGCAGCGACGCCGCGUGAGGGAUGACGGCCUUCGGGUUGUAAACCUCUUUCAGCAGGGAAGAAGCGAAAGUGACGGUACCUGCAGAAGAAGCGCCGGCUAACUACGUGCCAGCAGCCGCGGUAAUACGUAGGGCGCAAGCGUUGUCCGGAAUUAUUGGGCGUAAAGAGCUCGUAGGCGGCUUGUCACGUCGGAUGUGAAAGCCCGGGGCUUAACCCCGGGUCUGCAUUCGAUACGGGCUAGCUAGAGUGUGGUAGGGGAGAUCGGAAUUCCUGGUGUAGCGGUGAAAUGCGCAGAUAUCAGGAGGAACACCGGUGGCGAAGGCGGAUCUCUGGGCCAUUACUGACGCUGAGGAGCGAAAGCGUGGGGAGCGAACAGGAUUAGAUACCCUGGUAGUCCACGCCGUAAACGUUGGGAACUAGGUGUUGGCGACAUUCCACGUCGUCGGUGCCGCAGCUAACGCAUUAAGUUCCCCGCCUGGGGAGUACGGCCGCAAGGCUAAAACUCAAAGGAAUUGACGGGGGCCCGCACAAGCAGCGGAGCAUGUGGCUUAAUUCGACGCAACGCGAAGAACCUUACCAAGGCUUGACAUAUACCGGAAAGCAUCAKAGAUGGUGCCCCCCUUGUGGUCRGUAUACAGGUGKUGCAUGGYURUCGUCAGCUCGUGUCGUGAGAUGUUGGGUUAAGUCCCGCAACGAGCGCAACCCUUGUUCUGUGUUGCCAGCAUGCCCUUCGGGGUGAUGGGGACUCACAGGAGACUGCCGGGGUCAACUCGGAGGAAGGUGGGGACGACGUCAAGUCAUCAUGCCCCUUAUGUCUUGGGCUGCACACGUGCUACAAUGGCCGGUACAAUGAGCUGCGAUGCCGCGAGGCGGAGCGAAUCUCAAAAAGCCGGUCUCAGUUCGGAUUGGGGUCUGCAACUCGACCCCAUGAAGUCGGAGUUGCUAGUAAUCGCAGAUCAGCAUUGCUGCGGUGAAUACGUUCCCGGGCCUUGUACACACCGCCCGUCACGUCACGAAAGUCGGUAACACCCGAAGCCGGUGGCCCAACCCCUUGUGGGAGGGAGCUGUCGAAGGUGGGACUGGCGAUUGGACGAAGUCG
Molecule: ribosomal RNA, 1421 nt
Filed under: Streptomyces sp. QLS04
Lineage: Bacteria; Bacillati; Actinomycetota; Actinomycetes; Kitasatosporales; Streptomycetaceae
Description: 16S ribosomal RNA
Rfam family: Bacterial small subunit ribosomal RNA
Source: RNAcentral